Quercus lobata is the source of this 2711-nucleotide long non-coding RNA. RefSeq lists it as uncharacterized. The transcript is spliced from 8 exons. The record is from RefSeq and is a predicted model, not a curated record. Lineage: Eukaryota; Viridiplantae; Streptophyta; Magnoliopsida; Fagales; Fagaceae.
UUUGAAAUUUCUCAGAACUCUAUAAAAGCCAAAUUGAAAAUCCCAGUCCCGAUUCAUCGCCCUCGCCCCUUGCUUUUCGUUCUCUCUCGAAAUUCUCGUCUUCGAUGAUCGAUUCGCCACUGUGAACUGCAAUUUCCGGUACCAACCUCUCUCCUCCUCCACGACGGAAACGCUCUUUCCUCUCUUCAUCAAAUCCAUCCUCUAUCUAAGCACUUCUUCCCAUUUCUCAACCGCACCCUUUCCCUCCUCCCCAAAGGCCUCCUCUUCAAAUGACCAAUUUUCCCUCGACCUCCUCAACAUUUACCAACUCUGCCUUACUUGCUUGGAUUCCCUCUCUUCCCACCUCUCUUCUAAACCCUACUCCGUUCACGUCCAGAGGCUUCGCAUGUUGCAUUGUAUAGAGGGAUUGGGGUGGAGCUGAGGCCGAGGGGGGUUAGGGUUUUGCGUUUUGGAGAGCUUCAGAGGGAUGGAUUUUGAUGUGGAAAAUGGCCGUGGAGAUAAGGAGUUUGCGUUGUUGGUUCUGGAGGUGGUUGCAACUUGCAACCAUGGUGAAGUGUGCCGCGAUGGGCCAGAGUAAGGAUGAGGCAGUGUAUGGGAGGCUGAUUGGUUUAGUUGAGGAGCUUUGGCCGUGGCUUAGGUUGUCCGGCAGAUAUGUUUCUUGCUACCAGAGAAUAGAUCGUUGCUCAUCAUUGACAUAUUAAUGCGUGUGUUGGAUUCCAUUGCCCGUGAAUGCAAGUUCAAAGUGGAAAAAACCAGAAUGGAGUACAUUGAACUUGUUUCAUAUUGUGCCAAUAAAGGUUGAACUUCAGGCGCAAACUUAAGUAUUACAAUGGUGACACUUCUAAACAAAAUAGCAGAUGAUUCCCAUCAGGCUAGAUCUCCAUUUGAUAUGAUACUGAGGCUUUAUGCAGCUGGGUUGCACCUUAUCAAUUCUGAUGUGAAGUCCAGAGGUGGUGAUCUUACAUCCUCUGGAGGUGCUAAAUAUGAGUCUGUUAUUCAAAUUUUAUGUGAUGAUGGGGAUAUACUGCAGAACUUAGCUGCUUUGCUUGGUUCUUUGGGUAGUUACUUUCAUAUUAGCUGCAAAGAGAAUUAUGUUACAUGUAAUGUCAAACAUACAGAUUAUGUUUGUCAGAGUUGUUCAUGGUUAUGAGGCCUCUAUAGAUUGCACUCAGAAUAAUAGAAAAACUUAUUAUCUCUUUUACCUAAAUGCUUUGAAAUUCUUAUGCCAGCCACUAGUGGAUUUAGUAAAUUCAGAAAGGAAACAGCUUGUUAGUGAAAAUGAAAAUGCUUUUGUUACUACAAAACUCUGUAUAAUCCAGGAUACAUUCUAUCAGUUUGUUGAUAUUUUUUGUUCCUGUCAAAAGUAAGUUAAUUGUGGAUUUAUUUUACUUUGUAUAUGUAUGGUAUUUUCCAUUUGUGUUGUUUGGAAGGCCACCCAUUGUGUUUGAUGUGGUGGAUUUACAAUUAACAUAAAUUUAGAGCUGUUGAGAGAUUUCUGUUCCCAAGUUCAAGAUGGAGUUCCUUCACUUACUUUCUUUUUUGAUUACUGAUUUACCUGUGAUUCCAUUCUUUUUAUUCUUUCGGAAUUAGUGGUACUCUUAAUUUAAGAAAGAAUUUGUUAUACUCAGUGUGGUUUUCGUAUACUUCUUGUGUGCUUGGACUUCUCUCCUUUAUUUAUCUUCUUAUUAUAAAGAAAUCUUGUUCAAAGGUCAAUCUUUAUGUCUUUGUUUAGUUACCAUAGCUGUGAAAAAUAUGGCUGCUUGUGCACCAGAGUAGUUGUAGUAUUCUGUUGUGCAUUCAAUUCUAGAAACUAUUAUGUGAUGUGGGAGAUGCAAGAAGAUUAUUUAGUAUUAUAUAUGUUUGCAAGUUAAUUGUAUUUUUAUGUUUUAGGUCUUAGUAGUUUAUUAGGCUAUUAGUAUUUUAAUUUGGAAGCAAGGUUAUUUUUGUAAUAAGACAAUUAGGAUUUCCAAGCCAAUUAAAACUAGGGUUUAGCAAUCCUUUGUAAGCAACUUAUUGUAGAUUGUGAGGAGUUAGUUGAUAUUUUGAUGAAUGAAAAAAAUGGCCAUUUGGAUUCUUUUGGUUUGGUGCUGACUCCAGGUCUAUCCUAGGCGCUGACUCCUAGUGAUUUCCCCACUUGGUGCUGACUCCAAGCCAGGCCUAGGUGUUGACUCCUAGGGUUGCAUGGAUUUUCACCAUGACAUAUAUAGGCUGAUGACUAGAUUAUUCAAAUGCAAGAAUGUUCCACUGGAGAAUUUCUUGGCCAAACUGUGGGAAAGAUACGCCGUCUAAAGGGUUGCAUCAACAGUGAGUUGGGUUCCAAAAGAGUUUCUCAUUUUCAUUUGCAAGUUCCCAGGCCUCUUGCAAUCGUGAGAGCACUUUUAGAUCAGCUAUCACAGUUGUUGAAAUUAAAGAGGCUGCAUUUCAACUCAUUUUAAGUGUUCCUGUACCCAGUUAAUCUGUGUUUCUUGCUGGAUAUUUUUACCAUGAUUUGUGUGAAAGACUUGUUUCACAUGGAAGGUUAAUUAAGAUGCAUCAAAAGAUUGAAAAAUUACAGAUUCAAGUUAAGGCCAUCAAAACAGGAGUUUAAAUAUGACAAAUAUGGAUUGAUAUAAUCUCUAUAUAGUCAUGAUUAAUCUCUAUAUAUUCCAAGGAUCACCCGCUUAAUUUUGUAUGAAGUAAGCUAGAAGCCUUUUACAGGCAAUUUUGAGUUU